GACGAACGCUGGCGGCGGGCUUAACACAUGCAAGUCGAACGGAAAGGCCCUGCUGUUGGGGGCGGCUCGAGGGGCGAACGGGGGGGUAACACGUGUGUAACCUGCCCUUCACUGGGGGAUAACGUCAGGAAACGGGGGCUAAUACCGGAGGGGAGCUCCUGCUGCAAGGGGGGGGUUGGAAAGUUUCGGCGGUUGGGGAUGGGCUCGCGGCUUCUCAGCUUGUGGGUUGGGUAGUGGCUUAGCAAGGCAUCAGCGGGUAGCCGGCCUGGGAGGGUGACCGGCCCCAUCGGGCUUGGGCUGCGGCCCGGACUCCUCCGGGACGCAGCAGUGGGGUAUAUUGCCCUAUGGGCGGAAGCCUGCUGCAGCAACGCCGUGUGCGGGAUGCCGGCCUUCGGUUUGUAUACCGCUUCCGCCUGUGCCGAAGCGUGAGUGACGGUACUGGGUAAAGAAGCCCCGGCUAACUACGUG
Molecule: ribosomal RNA, 468 nt
Filed under: uncultured bacterium
Lineage: Bacteria
Description: partial 16S ribosomal RNA
Rfam family: Bacterial small subunit ribosomal RNA
Source: RNAcentral